UACGUAGGGUGCGAGCGUUAAUCGGAUUUACUGGGCGUAAAGCGUGCGAAGGCGGCCCGUUAAGACAGGUGUGAAAUCCCUGGGCUCAACCUAGGAAUUGCGCUUGUGACUGGCGGGCUCGAGUACGGGAGAGGGGGGUGGAAUUCCUGGUGUAGCAGUGAAAUGCGUAGAGAUCAGGAGGAACACCGAUGGCGAAGGCAGCCCCCUGGGCCUGUACUGACGCUCAUGCACGAAAGCGUGGGGAGCAAACAGG
Molecule: ribosomal RNA, 253 nt
Filed under: uncultured microorganism
Description: partial 16S ribosomal RNA
Rfam family: Bacterial small subunit ribosomal RNA
Source: RNAcentral